RNAcentral lists this ribosomal RNA (254 nucleotides) under uncultured bacterium. RNAcentral describes it as "partial 16S ribosomal RNA". It matches the Rfam family "Bacterial small subunit ribosomal RNA", at positions 524 to 776 of the family's 1533-position model. The record is from RNAcentral.
GACAGAGGGUGCAAACGUUUGUUCGGAAUUACUGGGCGUAAAGCGUGUGUAGGCGGCCAUGUAAGUCAGGUGUGAAAGCCCCGGGCUUAACCCGGGAAGUGCACUUGAAACUGCGUGGCUUGAGUAUCGGAGAGGUUGGUGGAAUUCUCGGUGUAGAGGUGAAAUUCGUAGAUAUCGAGAGGAACACCGGUGGCGAAGGCGGCCAACUGGACGAAUACUGACGCUGAGACACGAAAGCGUGGGGAGCAAACAGG